Molecule: transfer RNA, 72 nt
Filed under: Bos taurus (domestic cattle)
Lineage: Eukaryota; Metazoa; Chordata; Mammalia; Artiodactyla; Bovidae
Also listed under: 4 other names
Rfam family: tRNA
About the family: Transfer RNA (tRNA) molecules are approximately 80 nucleotides in length. Their secondary structure includes four short double-helical elements and three loops (D, anti-codon, and T loops). Further hydrogen bonds mediate the characteristic L-shaped molecular structure. tRNAs have two regions of fundamental functional importance: the anti-codon, which is responsible for specific mRNA codon recognition, and the 3' end, to which the tRNAs corresponding amino acid is attached (by aminoacyl-tRNA synthetases). tRNAs cope with the degeneracy of the genetic code in two manners: having more than one tRNA (with a specific anti-codon) for a particular amino acid; and 'wobble' base-pairing, i.e. permitting non-standard base-pairing at the 3rd anti-codon position.
Source: Rfam by way of RNAcentral
UCCCUGGUGGCUCAGUGGUAAAAGAAUCUGCCUGCAAUGCAGGAGACCCAGGUUCGAUCCCUCGGUUGGGAA